This 290-nucleotide long non-coding RNA is filed under the name Elaeis guineensis (African oil palm). RNAcentral's name for it is "long non-coding RNA (EGUI_LNC063331)". The record is from RNAcentral. Lineage: Eukaryota; Viridiplantae; Streptophyta; Magnoliopsida; Arecales; Arecaceae.
GUAGGAGCUCAGAUGAAAUUCGAAAGGCGAUCAACCAUCGUAGAAACUUGGACGGAGUCUGGUUACUGUAGAAGUCCUACUGCUGGAGAAGCUCGAUCAUUGAUGAAGUCUGGAAGAAGUUCAGAGUAAAGUCGAUCGUGGCUGGAAGAAGUCUGGAAGAGAUUUAGAAAGUAGUCGAUCACUGUAGAAAAUCGACUGGUAGUGAAGCUCGGAGAGCAUUUGGAACAGUCUGGUAGAUGAAUGGAGGAGCUCAUUAUUGGUGAAGUCCGGAUGGUAUUGUGGAAGCUCGG